GAUGAACGCUGGCGGCGUGCUUAACACAUGCAAGUCGAACGGGAUCCAAGGGGUGCUUGCACUUUUUGGUGAGAGUGGCGAACGGGUGAGUAACACGUGAGUAACCUGUCCUUUUCUUUGGGAUAAGCAUUCGAAAGGGUGUUUAAUACCUUAUGUUCUGUCUGCCUCGCAUGGGGUGGGUGGGAAAGGCUUUGGCCGGAUUUGGGUGGGCUCGCGGUCUAUCAGCUUGUUGGUGGGGUGAUGGCUUACCAAGGCUUUGACGGGUAGCCGGCCUGAGAGGGUGGUCGGUCACAUUGGGACUGAGAUACGGCCCAGACUCCUGCGGGAGGCAGCAGUGGGGGAUAUUGCACAAUGGGCGAAAGCCUGAUGCAGCGACGCCGCGUGGGGGAUGAAGGCCUUCGGGUUGUAAACUUCUUUUGCUCUGAGCAAGGCAUGCCAGUGGGUGUGUUGAGUGUAGGGGUUGAUUAGCGCCGGCUAACUACGUG
Molecule: ribosomal RNA, 485 nt
Filed under: uncultured bacterium
Lineage: Bacteria
Description: partial 16S ribosomal RNA
Rfam family: Bacterial small subunit ribosomal RNA
Source: RNAcentral